AUGUACAUCCAGUUGAUAGGACUGGGUGGACUUCUCAAGACACCUAGAAUCAAAAUUAGACGUGUACUGUGUCUGGCCAUCGAUAAUUCAUAUGACGCAGAGCAGAAUGCCUUUAUCAUCAAUGGGAUACCAUGUAGGAUCACACUAGAAGAUGUAGCACAUAUAACAGGCAUGCCCUGCCAUGGGAAGAAGCACGUCCCUUCAAAUCUUGAUGAUAAUAUGGAGUUGUGGAAGAAAUUGAAAGACCGUAAUGACACCAAAAUAACUUUCAAAGGAUUGCUAGCCAAGAUGAAAGUCGACAGCACACCAAAUUUUGUCAGGCCAUUUGUCUUGUACACCAUAGGCAAAUAUGUAUGCCGAACAAAAGAGGAGUAUGUGGAUAACAAAUAUAUUGGGAUUGUUAGAAACGUUGAGACAAUAAAGGGCACAAAUCUUGGAUAG
RNAcentral lists this ribosomal RNA (441 nucleotides) under Triticum aestivum (bread wheat). RNAcentral describes it as "partial small subunit ribosomal RNA". The record is from RNAcentral. Lineage: Eukaryota; Viridiplantae; Streptophyta; Magnoliopsida; Poales; Poaceae.